CAGUAGCCGCGGUAAUACGAAGGGGGCUAGCGUUGUUCGGAAUUACUGGGCGUAAAGGGCGCGUAGGCGGCCAUUCAAGUUAGAUGUGAAAGCCCUGGGCUCAACCUAGGAAUUGCAUUUGAUACUGUUUGGCUUGAGUUCGGGAGAGGUGAGUGGAAUUCCCAGUGUAGAGGUGAAAUUCGUAGAUAUUGGGAAGAACACCAGUGGCGAAGGCGGCUCACUGGACCGACACUGACGCUGAGGCGCGAAAGCGUGGGGAGCAAACAGGAUUAGAUACCCGUGUAGUCCCUGUCUCUUAUAA
RNAcentral lists this ribosomal RNA (301 nucleotides) under uncultured bacterium. RNAcentral's name for it is "partial 16S ribosomal RNA". It matches the Rfam family "Bacterial small subunit ribosomal RNA", at positions 509 to 809 of the family's 1533-position model. The record is from RNAcentral.